Molecule: ribosomal RNA, 461 nt
Filed under: uncultured bacterium
Lineage: Bacteria
Description: partial 16S ribosomal RNA
Rfam family: Bacterial small subunit ribosomal RNA
Source: RNAcentral
CCUACGGGGGGGCAGCAGUGAGGAAUAUUGGUCAAUGGGCGCGAGCCUGAACCAGCCCAGUAGCGUGAAGGAUGACUGCCCUACGGGUUGUAAACUUCUCUUAUAAAGGAAUAAAGUGAGGCACGUGUGCCUUUUUGUAUGUACUUUAUGAAUAAGGAUCGGCUAACUCCGUGCCAGCAGCCGCGGUAAUACGGAGGGUCCGAGUGUUAUCCGGAUUUAUUGGGUGUAAAGGGCGUGCAGCCGGGAAGACAAGUCAGAUGUGAAAUCCCCCGGCUCAACCGCGGAACUGCAUUUGAAACUGUUUUUCUUGAGUACCGGAGAGGUCAUCGGAAUUCCUGGUGUAGCGGUGAAAUGCGUAGAUAUAAGGAAGAACACCAGUGGCGAAGGCGGAUGACUGGACGGCAACUGACGGUGAGGAGCGAAAGCGUGGGGAGCAAACAGGAUUAGAUACCCUGGUAGUC